Panthera uncia (snow leopard) is the source of this 636-nucleotide long non-coding RNA. RefSeq lists it as uncharacterized. NCBI's taxonomy places the organism in Eukaryota, Metazoa, Chordata, Mammalia, Carnivora, Felidae. The transcript is spliced from 5 exons. The record is from RefSeq and is a predicted model, not a curated record.
UUUUUUUUUUUUUUUUUAGCAGCCGGGCUCUCCUGUUCUCCGUGGAAGGGGGAAUUUAUUUCAUUACAGGGAGUUCUGGAGGGUGUGGGAGGCCAAGCUGGAGUGGGCUUUAAGGCUCUUUCCAGCUGUUCAAAGGCAGGAACUUGGGGCCUCUUUGGAAUCUAUAUCUGAGCUAAACAAGAUGGCGCACAGAGAAGAUCGACACAAGGCUCCAUCCCACAAACCGUGAGAUCAUGACCUAAGCCAAAAUCAAGAGUUGGAAGCUUAACCGACUGAGCCACCCAGGUGCCCCGGGAAGGGCAUUUUAAAGCCUUCAGUAGAGCAAGAAAGUGGGACCGGAUGAACUCUGAGGACCACGCGAGACCCAGGAUGACCACAAAGGUCUGUAGCGAGGCGGCCCCGAAAGCAAGGUCUCCGGGCUCCCCUUGUUGUACCGCAGGCAAAAGCGGAAAUUGGAAGGCAAGCCCUGUGAUGGCGAGGACUUGAAAAUUGCUUCUAAUUUCCAAGUGUGUGCCAGAGAGAGAGACAGCCUGCCAAGGACACGGCCUAAGUCACCCUCCUUGUAAUGAGAGAAGAGGAGGAAGAGCGGUGAUUAAAUGUGCUUGAUAAAACUUCUCUAUUUCGUGUUUGGAAUAA